AAACUUAAAGGAAUUGACGGGGCCCGCACAAGCGGUGGAGCAUGUGGUUUAAUUCGACGCAACGCGAAGAACCUUACCUAGGUUUGACAUCCCGGGGAGUCUCUUGAAAGAGAGAUGUGCCCUUCGGGGAGCCCGGAGACAGGUGCUGCAUGGCUGUCGUCAGCUCGCGUCGUGAGAUGUUGGGUUAAGUCCCGCAACGAGCGCAACCCUUAUCUUUAGUUACCAGCACUUCGGGUGGGGACUCUAGAGAUACUGCCCCGGUCAACGGGGAGGAAGGUGGGGAUGACGUCAAGUCCUCAUGGCCUUUAUGCCUAGGGCUACACACGUGCUACAAUGGGCGGUACAAAGGGUCGCGAUCCCGCGAGGGGGAGCCAAUCCCAAAAAGCCGUCCCAAGUUCGGAUUGGAGUCUGCAACUCGACUCCAUGAAGCUGGAAUCGCUAGUAAUCGCGGAUCAGCAUGCCGCGGUGAUUACGUUCCCGGGCCUU
RNAcentral lists this ribosomal RNA (486 nucleotides) under uncultured Desulfobacteraceae bacterium. Its description in RNAcentral is "bacterial SSU rRNA". It matches the Rfam family "Bacterial small subunit ribosomal RNA", at positions 897 to 1382 of the family's 1533-position model. The record is from RNAcentral. Lineage: Bacteria; Pseudomonadati; Thermodesulfobacteriota; Desulfobacteria; Desulfobacterales; Desulfobacteraceae.